Long non-coding RNA from Sinocyclocheilus rhinocerous, 1219 nucleotides. RefSeq lists it as uncharacterized. Lineage: Eukaryota; Metazoa; Chordata; Actinopteri; Cypriniformes; Cyprinidae. The transcript has 2 exons. The record is from RefSeq and is a predicted model, not a curated record.
AAGACCUGCGUGUGCCAGAAGGUGACCUGGGCAAAGAAAUCGAAAGCAAAUUUGCAGCUGGUGAAGAGAUGUUGGUUACUGUGCUUUCAGCUAUGGGCGAAGAAUCUGCAGUGGCUGUCAAACCCAUGACCAAAUAGGAAGAAAGACUGGGCUGCUCAGGCUGCAACAUGCUAAACUUUAACAAAUCUCUUGCAUUUGUUUUUUUGGUUUUAUUUGUCACCAAAGCUAUGGCCUUCACAAGCAACCUCAAUUUUUUUUGCUGUGAUUGUAUUCCUUUUUUCUUCUCCUUCCAAUACUGUGCUGGACUUGUCGGGUCAGUUGGCAUUUUCUCGGGUAAGAGGUUUAAUACUGUCAGUGUGUUUACCCCCUCAUCCUCCCCCUUUUGUCCCCCCUCAAGUUUUUACCACUUACAUUCCUGAACGUAAAAUAAUGGGAUCCAUUUUUCCUUUUUUGUAUUCUUGAAUUUCUUAAUAGUAAUUAGUGUGCAGGAUUUACGCAAGGUGUUGCGAAGAGAGGAAACCCCAACUGACACUGAACUUUUUUUUUUUUUUUUUUUUUUCCUCUCUCUGGGUGUCAUACUUUUACUUACCUCCUUACAUGAUCUACGCCAUGCUGGCACUAUAGUUAACUUCUCUCAAUUGAAUGCCGCCCCCCCCCACCCCAAAGUGAGAUGCAUACUGGUAGUUGGCACUUCCUUUUACUUGCAGUACUUUAAAAGUACCUUCUCAAGUAAAACCGCUACGACCGAGAAAUAAACUCCAGCGAAAUGUCCCCUUAAAUGCCAGUCUCUAAUUGUUCAGAAGUGGAAAGGAUGUGAUGGCCAUGUGCGAAUACCUCUGUAACACAAUAGCAGCCAGCUUGAUUUUGGCUGUCAUUGAUGACCUUAAAUAAAGUGUUGAAGCCUGUAUUUGUCUCCAGGUAGGCUCUUAUCAGUGCUGCCCCAGACUGAGCUUGAGGACUAAAUCUUUGAGUUCUAAUCUUCCUUUGUUCACUCGAGGCCUUUGUCACAUGACUGGAGAGAGCAAAAAAUAAAAACUGAAUAGAUUUACCUUUUUAAUUUUGUUUUUAUGGCACACUUGAUCAGUAUUAAAACAAGAUCCAGAAGGCUGGUUAAAGGUGUUCCUUCAUAGUUACAGCAGAUAUUCAUCUGGUAAAAUUUAACACAUGAAAAUGUAUUACAGUCUGUGGUGAAUGAAUAUCCUACUUGUGUAAAUUCAGG